GGGUUGUGAGGUUAAGCGACUAAGCGUACACGGUGGAUGCCCUGGCAGUCAGAGGCGAUGAAGGACGUGCUAAUCUGCGAUAAGCGCCGGUAAGGUGAUAUGAACCGUUAUAACCGGCGAUUUCCGAAUGGGGAAACCCAGUGUGACUCGUCACACUAUCAUUAACUGAAUCCAUAGGUUAAUGAGGCGAACCGGGGGAACUGAAACAUCUAAGUACCCCGAGGAAAAGAAAUCAACCGAGAUUCCCCCAGUAGCGGCGAGCGAACGGGGAGGAGCCCAGAGCCUGAAUCAGCAUGUGUGUUAGUGGAAGCGUCUGGAAAGGCGCGCGAUACAGGGUGACAGCCCCGUACACAAAAGCGCAUGUGC
RNAcentral lists this ribosomal RNA (366 nucleotides) under Salmonella enterica subsp. enterica serovar Infantis. RNAcentral describes it as "partial 23S ribosomal RNA". It matches the Rfam family "Bacterial large subunit ribosomal RNA", at positions 1 to 394 of the family's 2925-position model. Lineage: Bacteria; Pseudomonadati; Pseudomonadota; Gammaproteobacteria; Enterobacterales; Enterobacteriaceae. The record is from RNAcentral.